UGAAAUAAAGAUUCGACAGACAACUCUCAUCUGCACAUAGAAUUAUAGUAGUAUCCAUUCUAUAACGACUCCAUUUCUAUCUGAAUCAUAACUAAAGGUGAACGUGCCAAGAUAAUAUUGAAGUGAUAUAUAUUGGAAGUGAGUACGCCAAAUUUAGAAGUGGAGUACCCGUUAAUCGUAUCGAGACCGGAAGAUAUGAGAAUUUACGAGUAUCAGAAAGGACUUGUUGUGGCUUUCCGAAUUCCACUACGAACAAAGAACAUGUACUUAUAUUCGUCAUUAGAGACAGUUGUUUUAAUAACUCAAUUGUUGAUGGGUUUGAUAAGUUUUCUAUCCAAGAUAUUAACCUUUCUUUGAUUCUGUAAUUAGUAAGCAACAAACGUUUGUGUGCCAUUUGUCUGUCUCUUCUCCUCUUAUGGUUGACACUAUGUUUAGUAAUUUGUUUCUUAGGUGUAAAUAAUCGUCUCUCGUCAUUCUAUAAUAAUGGCUUUUAAAUAUUUGUACUGUGUUUUAAUCAAAUUCUUUUGUGAUUGUUUGUUAAAUGUGAGACGUAAAUAAAAUAUUGUAUUGUA
Long non-coding RNA from Mytilus californianus (California mussel), 572 nucleotides. RefSeq lists it as uncharacterized. Lineage: Eukaryota; Metazoa; Mollusca; Bivalvia; Mytilida; Mytilidae. The record is from RefSeq and is a predicted model, not a curated record. The transcript is spliced from 2 exons.